AGAGCACAACAACACAGAGAAGCAAGAACGCAACAACCGCGAAAAUGUCGCAAACGUAGAAUGUGUCAAAAACAGAGCUGCAACCAUACGCUAUGUCAUGAUUGUUAAUAAACUUGCUAUAUUAUUUGUGAAGGUGCUGCUACAUGUUUAUACAAAGAUAGUGAAGACCACAUGCAUUAGUCCAAAGGAUCAUGAACAAUUGAACUCUUUCACACAAACAGGUGCUGCUAAUAAAUUUGAGCUAUAUUAUUAGUGAAAAAGGUAUUGCUAAUCGAUAGUAUACAGAUAUGGAUACGGACACUGACACGCCGCCGACACCACUAAUAAUUUAAGAAAUCAUAUAAUUAUGUGUAAUUGUAUAUGUCGGUGACGUGUCGGUGACACGUAAUCCGAACAUGCUUCAUUGACUGAGUUUCGAUAUAAUGUAUCAACCAACUAACAUCCAAUGACAUGGUCAUUCAAAUCCAAAAAAAAAAAAACCAAAAUCAUUAAUUGAUGCCAAAAAGCUAAUUCAAACCAAAAUCAUUACAUCUAAAACUCACGAAAUAAUUCAGUACUUUAUAAACUAGCCCAAUCAAAUUUAUUGAAUUUAUCAUACAUAAACUGUGUUUCUAUAUUUGUUAAUAGACUAUAUUUAUGUGAGAAUUUACCAGCUAUAACCAAAAUAAAUUAACUUUUUUCUUUAAGCUAAACUUUUUUCAGGGUUUGCUUUUAAUGAACUAAACGAUGCUUGUUUCAAUAGGCAAAACAAAAUGAAAUUUUGAUACAUUACAUUCUUUAGAUUCUUUCAUGGUGUUGGCUGAAGCAAAAUUAGAUUCAUGGUAUCAAUUAAUGAGUUGGGGUUGGUUAUCAAAUUUCAGCACCCACAAAACACCCACAAAAGGGAUGAAGAAGAAAAAUUUAACUAAAUUCAACAAAAAGUUGAACAAAAAAUUAAUUAUAAUCAACCGAAAAGCAGAAAAAAAAAUUAAAAUAUGGAUGAAGAAGAGAAGAAGAAGAAGAAGAAUUACAUGGAUCUUUUGUUAUUUGAGAUGAGCAGGAAGAAGAUCUUCUCUGUUGAAGUUCUGGAAAUGAGCGGAAAAAGAGAAGAAGAACAACGAGAAGGUUGGAUCGGAUUCGGAUCGAGAGCGAUAUGAGGUUCGAGGGUCACAUGAUUUUUCGAUUCAGAACUUGAGUGAAUGAUUUUUUUGUACGAGGGUCACAUGGAUGAACUUCGAAUGGAUAAGGGUUUGAGUGAAUGAACUUGAGUGUAGUGAAUGAACUUAGAGUGGAUUAAGUUUACGUUAAGUGAAUGAAAUU
Molecule: long non-coding RNA, 1299 nt
Filed under: Medicago truncatula (barrel medic)
Lineage: Eukaryota; Viridiplantae; Streptophyta; Magnoliopsida; Fabales; Fabaceae
Description: long non-coding RNA (MTRU_LNC004699)
Source: RNAcentral